CCAUCAUCGGUCAACUGAGGU
This 21-nucleotide non-coding RNA is filed under the name Arabidopsis thaliana (thale cress). The record is from RNAcentral. Lineage: Eukaryota; Viridiplantae; Streptophyta; Magnoliopsida; Brassicales; Brassicaceae.